RNA transcript from Bactrocera oleae (olive fruit fly), 1661 nucleotides. It is a transcript of the gene named Tetraspanin 47F, with no coding region annotated. The record is from RefSeq and is a predicted model, not a curated record. Lineage: Eukaryota; Metazoa; Arthropoda; Insecta; Diptera; Tephritidae.
CACUACAGCUUUGGUGGUGAAGUCUGCGACCAAGCAAUGGUCAGUUCAUUCAGAACCGCCUAAUUGAACGGACGUGAUUGCGCAAACGAAGUUGUUAAUUCGACCACAACAUUUAACCGUUAAAUGUUGCUUGCGGCGAACGUGUGUUGGAAUAAAGCUGGAAAUAUAAAAACGAAUCACUAAGUGCAUUUAAUAAAGAAAUUAUAUUAAAAAUAUUGAUUAGAAGAAAUACUGUGUGCCUGUGCAUUAGCAUUAGUAGAUAAAAAUCUGCUGUUAAGUUGAGAAACUUCACACUUUGCUGCCCUUCUUCCCUGUUGUUGCACUUCCGGUGGUAAAUGAAUUUCAAAAUGCGUACAUGCGGCAUGAGUUUGGUCAAGUAUAUACUGUUCGCCUUCAAUAUCAUAUUUGCGAUAUCGGGGCUCGGUAUUUUAAUAGCCGGUGCGGUUGUCCUUGCCGAUGUCAACCAAUUCAGUCACUUUGUCGAGGGUAGAGUGACGGCGCCACCCAUUGUACUUAUUGUGACCGGUUUAAUCAUAUUUCUCAUUGCAACGUUGGGUUGUUUUGGCGCCAUCAAGGAGUCACCAACAUUACUGCUCACCUAUGCUGUGCUGCUCGCCAUCAUCUUCAUUGUCGAGUUAGCCGUGGGCAUUGCCGCGGCUGUCUUCAAGGCGGACCUGGAAAUGAUGCUAAAGAACUCACUGCAGGAGUCUAUAAAACGUUCAAAUCAUGAGGAUAUGAUGGCUUGGGACAAUGUGCAGCGAAAGUUGAUGUGUUGCGGUGUCGACAAUCCAGCCGAUUGGCGUACACUUAGCGCCAAUAAAACAUUGCCGGCUAGCUGCUGUCGCGAAAAAUACAUUGAUGAGGCCGUUGGACAUUGCACUGAGUCGUUGGCGUUGGGCGUGGAUAAGUAUUUUCAGGAGGGUUGCGUCGGCAAACUUAGGGAACGAAUCGAUAAGAACGCCGUCAUCCUAAUUGGUGUGGGUAUUGGUAUUGCCUUCAUACAAAUACUGGGCAUUAUACUGGCAUGCUACCUGGCUUCCACAAUACGUCACGAACGCAUGAAAUAAAUAUGAGGAAAACGAGGUUAGUCAAUUAGUCGUGGUUAAGCUGCCACUUGUAGAUAUUAAUUACAAAAUUGAUAAAAGUAUCAAAAAACUCGAAAAUCACUAACAAAGCAACAUCUCAUAAUCAAAGCAGCAUAAUCAUAAGCAAUACUCAUCUCUACAGUAAUAAUGAAGGACAAAUCAUAAAUUCCAAUACAUAUCUAUAUACAGACUUAUGUAUAUUUUACUAACAGCGGCGGAGCGAUGAUAUUAAAGACUUAUAUCAAUUGAGUGCCUUAGCAUUGUGAGACUCCACUUGUUUGAGUUAUUGUUUACACUUUCAGAUAUUCAAAAUCACCGUCCACAAGUAUUCUAAAUAUUUCUUACGAUACAAAAUAUUUUAAUGAAUGCUUAUAAAUGUAUUGUUGCUUUUUAUAUGUUAAAUAAAAAAAAUUUCUUAAAUAAAUAAUCACAACAAACGGUUUGAAUUUAGUUAAUUAUCCUUUGCCACCAAGUCGGAUCUAUGUAACCGCAACGGAUGCAGAUUUUUAACAGGCUAAGAAUAAUCAACUCGGACUUUCAAUAUGGUGGUGGUGUCAUCAAGAAGGAACUUGUGGC